GGGCCUAACACAUGCAAGUCGAACGCACUCGACCUUCGGGUCACAUGAGUGAGUGGCGAACGGGUGAGUAACACGUGAGGAACCUGCCCCGAAGACUGGAAUAACCCGAGGAAACUCGGGCUAAUACCGGAUAUCCCCACCAGGUCGCAUGGCCAGGUGAGGAAAUGCUCCGGCGCUUCGGGAGGGUCUCGCGGCCUAUCAGCUAGUUGGUGAGGUAACGGCUCACCAAGGCAUCGACGGGUAGCUGGUCUGAGAGGACGAUCAGCCACACUGGGACUGAGACACGGCCCAGACUCCUACGGGAGGCAGCAGUGGGGAAUCUUGCGCAAUGGGCGAAAGCCUGACGCAGCCACGCCGCGUGAGGGAUGAAGGCUUUCGGGUUGUAAACCUCUUUCAGCAGGGACGAAAAUGACGGUACCUGCAGAAGAAGCUCCGGCCAACUACGUGCCAGCAGCCGCGGUAACACGUAGGGAGCAAGCGUUGUCCGGAUUUAUUGGGCGUAAAGAGCUCGUAGGCGGUUCAGUCAGUCGGGUGUGAAAACUUGAGGCUCAACCUCAAGAGGCCACUCGAUACUGCUGUGACUAGAGUCCGGUAGAGGAGUGUGGAAUUCCUGGUGUAGCGGUGAAAUGCGCAGAUAUCAGGAGGAACACCGACAGCGAAGGCAGCACUCUGGGCCGGUACUGACGCUGAGGAGCGAAAGCAUGGGGAGCAAACAGGAUUAGAUACCCUGGUAGUCCAUGCCGUAAACGUUGGGCACUAGGUGUGGGGUCUCGCUAACAGAUUCCGUGCCGCAGCUAACGC
RNAcentral lists this ribosomal RNA (801 nucleotides) under uncultured Actinomycetes bacterium. RNAcentral's name for it is "SSU rRNA". It matches the Rfam family "Bacterial small subunit ribosomal RNA", at positions 44 to 858 of the family's 1533-position model. Lineage: Bacteria; Bacillati; Actinomycetota; Actinomycetes. The record is from RNAcentral.